RNAcentral lists this unclassified non-coding RNA (223 nucleotides) under plant metagenome. RNAcentral's name for it is "partial contains small subunit ribosomal RNA, internal transcribed spacer 1, and 5.8S ribosomal RNA". The record is from RNAcentral.
UCUCCGUUGGCGAACCAGCGGAGGGAUCAUUACCGAGUUAUCAACUCCCAAACCCCUGUGAACAUACCCAACGUUGCUUCGGCGGGACCGCCCCGGCGCCCUCGGCGUCCCGGAACCAGGCGCCCGCCGGAGGACCCAAACUCUUGUUUAAACCAUAGUGGCAUAUUCUGAGUCUCACAAGAAAAAUGAAUCAAAACUUUCAACAACGGAUCUCUUGGCUCCG